RNAcentral lists this long non-coding RNA (510 nucleotides) under Phoenix dactylifera (date palm). Its description in RNAcentral is "long non-coding RNA (PDAC_LNC000239)". Lineage: Eukaryota; Viridiplantae; Streptophyta; Magnoliopsida; Arecales; Arecaceae. The record is from RNAcentral.
AGGGUGUGUCCAUCACAAUAGUAAUGGCCAUCAACAAAGCAAGUUCAAGCAGGUAUUUGAAAAGUUCACAGAUACUCAUUAGCAUUUGCCAUACACAGAUAUGAGACUGCAAUGAGUAUUACAUAUUCGAAGAACAUGAUGUAAAGAGACUGAUAGAACUUCACUAACAAUCAGAGUGAGUGAAAAGAAAAAAACUGGCUGAUUUAAAUAAGACUACUGCAGUUAUUCACAGCAUCCCUUCAACAAUUCUACAGGUCACAACUGCAGGCAUGCCCUUUCAAAGAUCAUAGACAGGGAUCCACUUCAGUUUUUUUGUUAGAUUUGCAAUCAACAAAACUUUUUUUUAAAAAAAAUGUGAAUAUUCACUACUUGAACUAUACGAAUGCCAUUGUCAGAUAAUUUUUUGGCAAUAGAUCGCCCUUAUAAAGCAUACAAGCUAAAAAAAAUCUAAUAUUUCUACCUGUGUACAAACCAUUUGCUGAUAAAAGAGGUCUAAAGAUAAAAUAACUU